CUUCUUCGGAGAGUUUGAUCCUGGCUCAGGAUGAACGCUGGCGGCGUGCCUAAUACAUGCAAGUCGAGCGA
Molecule: ribosomal RNA, 71 nt
Filed under: Priestia megaterium
Lineage: Bacteria; Bacillati; Bacillota; Bacilli; Caryophanales; Bacillaceae
Description: Bacillus megaterium partial 16S ribosomal RNA
Rfam family: Bacterial small subunit ribosomal RNA
Source: RNAcentral